Molecule: ribosomal RNA, 492 nt
Filed under: uncultured bacterium
Lineage: Bacteria
Description: partial 16S ribosomal RNA
Rfam family: Bacterial small subunit ribosomal RNA
Source: RNAcentral
AGUGAACGCUGGCGGUAGGCCUAACACAUGCAAGUCGAACGGCAGCACAGUAAGAGCUUGCUCUUACGGGUGGCGAGUGGCGGACGGGUGAGGAAUACAUCGGAAUCUACUUUUUCGUGGGGGAUAACGUAGGGAAACUUACGCUAAUACCGCAUACGACCUACGGGUGAAAGCAGGGGAUCUUCGGACCUUGCGCGAUUGAAUGGGCCGAUGUCGGAUUAGCUAGUUGGCGGGGUAAAGGCCCACCAAGGCGACGAUCCGUAGCUGGUCUGAGAGGAUGAUCAGCCACACUGGAACUGAGACACGGUCCAGACUGCUACGGGAGGCAGCAGUGGGGAAUAUUGGACAAUGGGCGCAAGCCUGAUCCAGCCAUACCGCGUGGGUGAAGAAGGCCUUCGGGUUGUAAAGCCCUUUUGUUGGGAAAGAAAAGCAGCAGGUUAAUACCCCGCUGUUCUGACGGUACCCAAAGAAUAAGCACCGGCUAACUUCGUG